GCGGGGCUUCGCGAGGCGCCCCGCCCCUCCCUCCCCGAACCGGAAGUGUCUCUUGGUCUUUCCAGCUGGUUGUCAUUUCACUCGGCUCGGUCCUGAGGAGGAGUCGGCGGCGGCUGCGGGGAGACCGGGCACCGGGAGGCGGUGGCGGUGGAGACAUCAGAGGAGGAGGAGGAGGAAGACGAGAAACCGAAGAGGAAGGAGAAGGCCGCGGCGAAGACGGCACUGACUACGGGGCCAGGAGAGACGGCGGCUGCGGCGGCCCAGGAACCGUGAGGAGAAAAACUAAUCGAACUGAGAAACCGAACAAACCGCCCCCGGGUCUCAUGAGGGAAAAAAACCCCCGGAGCCGCAGAGAGGGGACGAGGCAGAAACCGCAGCAGCAGCGGCAGGACCUCCCUUCCAGACCGCCCCAGUUCCCCCCGCACGCCCCGGCCGGCGGCUGCUGAGGCCCCCCCGUCUCGUUUCGCCCCCCUCCCCUCCACAGUGAAUCGCUUUAAUCCUUUCUUAAUCUCGGUCCCCCCUAGAGAGAAACGGGUGUUUUCAGCCCAUUUCAUGGGGGAGAGGCGGUGGGGGGGGAGACCAGAAGCAGGAAAAACAGGAGCAGCAACAGCAAGAACUGCACCAGGAGCAGGAAGAGCGGCGGCAGCAAACCAGCCCCAGGAGCGAGAACUGCCCCAGGAGCCGCAGAAAGGGCAGAAGCGGCCCCGGGGGCCGCAGACACCUUCCUGCAGCCCUCCCGUUCCUCUUCAAUGCUGAUUUCCUCGACUGAAAUUCUGCUUCCCGGAACCAGGAAUUCACCCCGUUUCUUUCUUUCUCUCCACGUAACAUAAUAUCUUUAUACAUAAAUAUAUAAUAUAUAAUGUUCUUAAAUUAUUCCUGAUUUAAAAAAAAUUUUUUGAGCUGCCAAGAAAAGACGUCUUCUCCCCUAAUCCUUAAAAGAUUUCAUAUGUGGGUGAGUCAAAACUGCUGAGGAAGAACAUAUGAUUGUUAAAUUAUAGAUAUAUUUUUUACUCUGCGCAAUGCUUAUUCUUCUACAUCCAUAAAUGCUUCAGAAGCUCUGUUUUUGUCAUUCAUGUGCAUUUUCCUUUGGAAAAAGAAACCACCUAUUUUACUAACCAAAGACUUGAUUUUUUUCCCCUUCCUACCCUCUCCCCUAGAAAUAAACACAAUUUGACUCAUGUCCA
Molecule: long non-coding RNA, 1184 nt
Filed under: Phascolarctos cinereus (koala)
Lineage: Eukaryota; Metazoa; Chordata; Mammalia; Diprotodontia; Phascolarctidae
Description: lncRNA (ENSPCIG00000035452.1)
Source: RNAcentral